CCGCUCACAAUUGUGCUGAAAUAAAGUAGAAAAUUUAUCAGCGAUACAGUAUGCACAAUACAUUCUUACAGCAAGGGUUUUGUUUUCAGGUGUCCUUGUUGAGAAACGAUUUAAGAACCUGCGUGAUAUCUUCAAAAGGAAACAACACGACAUACGUGAAAAAACAAAGAAGUGGAGCCGCAGCAGCCGACAUUCCAACAAUAAAAUGGCCCCAUUUUGAGGCCAUGCUUGAAUUAAUGGAAGGAGAGUCUGAGCCUGUGGCGUAAGUUCAAUAUUAGCUGACUAUUGAGUACUAAACAAAAAAAAAGUUGAUUUAAUUCACAUGACUGUAAUACAUACACAUAAAUACUCACAUAUCAAUACUCAUAAGUACACUGCACAUAAACAUAGAAGUCCCAAGAGGUAAUUCACAUUGGGCAUGCAUGUGAUCAUGAACAUGAUGGCAAUGGGCUGUUUUGAUGUCGAAUAACUGUGGCUACAGCUACGAAGAAUAACUCAGUGCAUCAUUCUUUCUGGAUACUGUGCAACAUGAGUGCCAUUGACCAAAGCAGCCACAUCACAGCAGAAGAGGCUAACGAGAGAUCACCGCCUCGGCCAAGACAUGCAGCGGAACCGGAACGUACCCCUGAUACGGCUGAGGAGACUCGUGUCGACACCUGCAGCAAUGAGUAAAACCUUUAUGAAUCCACCUAAGUAAUGACAAAUGAAG
Molecule: unclassified non-coding RNA, 709 nt
Filed under: Rhipicephalus microplus (southern cattle tick)
Lineage: Eukaryota; Metazoa; Arthropoda; Arachnida; Ixodida; Ixodidae
Description: uncharacterized LOC119173538, transcript variant X2
Source: RNAcentral